CAUAUAAUUAAUCCAUAUAUUAUUCAUAUGUAUGUAGAUAUAAGUCCAUAUAUCUAACAAUUAAUAGCUGCAAGAUCGAAUCAAAUUAGUCAAUGAAUAUAUGCAUGUGCAAAUUAGUUAAUACUGAAGGUACAGGAAAUUAUGUAAUAGUCUUUAGUAAAUUUAAUUUCUUUCUAUUGUGGUCAACACUUUAUCACUGUCCGUGAUGAAGGUUGAUGGUGAAGAGAAAAAAUCCCUCAAGCAAUGUCUUUAGAAUUAAUUGUGCCUUUGACUCUAAAUUCUCCCUCAUACUUUACUUUGUAACCGCAAAAGAUCAAAUCAGAUCAGAAAAUGAAGCCCUAAAAUAGAUUCAACCAGAAAAAAAAAAUUAGAGCUGGAAAAAAUUGAAAGAGGAAUAGACUUGAAAAUUACAACAACAAGAUGAGAAGAUGAAGAAAAUUGAAAAAACUAUUCAAAAAUGAAAAAGUACUCUAUAUGGUGGCUAUUGAAAUAAAAUCUAUGUAGAAUAAACCUCCACUAAUAACUCAGCUUAUACAUUAUCCCAAAAACAAAGAUAAAAUAAAAAUAUUCUAGAAAUCAAGCAAAAGUUAACGGUCAAAGUGAAGAAGAAACAAUCGAGCAGAAAGACUUAAGAUCAAACUAAAAUUUCAACUCAAAAAGGGAUUAUCACCUGGUUUUGCCCUUUUUCCGUGCUACACUUUGAUUAUGAUGAAUUGUUGUUGCGCUGCUUUUUUUCUCCGUGCACGGCUAGAAAUUUUCAGAUUGGAAUGCUGAGUUAGAAAGAGAGAGAAAAGGUAAUUAAGAUGUUAAAGAGAAGAGGUGUAAAUCUGGAGUCAUAUAACAAUCACACGUGGACUUAUGGCUAGGCAAGUGACGCCACAUAUGAUAUAAUAAAGCUGAUAUUAAAUAAUUAUACGAGAAUAUAUAUACAUAACGU
This 937-nucleotide long non-coding RNA is filed under the name Nicotiana benthamiana. Its description in RNAcentral is "long non-coding RNA (NBEN_LNC030746)". Lineage: Eukaryota; Viridiplantae; Streptophyta; Magnoliopsida; Solanales; Solanaceae. The record is from RNAcentral.